This 253-nucleotide ribosomal RNA is filed under the name uncultured bacterium. Its description in RNAcentral is "partial 16S ribosomal RNA". It matches the Rfam family "Bacterial small subunit ribosomal RNA", at positions 524 to 776 of the family's 1533-position model. The record is from RNAcentral.
GACAGAGGGUGCAAACGUUGCUCGGAAUCACUGGGCGUAAAGGGUGCGUAGGCGGGUCUUUAAGUCAGGGGUGAAAUCCUGGAGCUCAACUCCAGAACUGCCUUUGAUACUGAAAGUCUUGAGUAUGGGAGAGGUGAGUGGAACUGCGAGUGUAGAGGUGAAAUUCGUAGAUAUUCGCAAGAACACCAGUGGCGAAGGCGGCUCACUGGCCCAUUACUGACGCUGAGGCACGAAAGCGUGGGGAGCAAACAGG